AUUGAACGCUGGCGGCAGGCCUAACACAUGCAAGUCGAGCGGAUGAAGGGAGCUUGCUCCUGGAUUCAGCGGCGGACGGGUGAGUAAUGCCUAGGAAUCUGCCUGGUAGUGGGGGAUAACGUCCGGAAACGGGCGCUAAUACCGCAUACGUCCUGAGGGAGAAAGUGGGGGAUCUUCGGACCUCACGCUAUCAGAUGAGCCUAGGUCGGAUUAGCUAGUUGGUGGGGUAAAGGCCUACCAAGGCGACGAUCCGUAACUGGUCUGAGAGGAUGAUCAGUCACACUGGAACUGAGACACGGUCCAGACUCCUACGGGAGGCAGCAGUGGUGAAUAUUGGACAAUGGGCGAAAGCCUGAUCCAGCCAUGCCGCGUGUGUGAAGUAGGUCUUCGGAUUGUAAAGCACUUUAAGUUGGGAGGAAGGGCAAUAAGUUAAUACCUUGCUGUUUUGACGUUACCAACAGAAUAAGCACCGGCUAACUUCGUG
Molecule: ribosomal RNA, 484 nt
Filed under: uncultured bacterium
Lineage: Bacteria
Description: partial 16S ribosomal RNA
Rfam family: Bacterial small subunit ribosomal RNA
Source: RNAcentral